GAAUCCCAGUAUAGAAAUGAGUGCUGCCGUCACAUCUAAAUAACAGUAGAUAAAUGCAUAACAAUAGCUCUGAGUCUGCUGCCACAGAUUAGAGCCAAGAACCAAAGAUGGACAAUGUAACAGAUGAAUACUGAUAUCAUAGAACAGAAGAAUCAGUGUCAGAAGAUGACAAAAGGAGGAACUAUGGUGGUGUAUACGUUGGUCUGCCAUCAGAGGCUGCUACCAUGGCUCCCAGUCAGACAAAGACUGAACCUAAAG
Long non-coding RNA from Mauremys mutica (yellowpond turtle), 258 nucleotides. RefSeq lists it as uncharacterized. The transcript is spliced from 3 exons. The record is from RefSeq and is a predicted model, not a curated record. Lineage: Eukaryota; Metazoa; Chordata; Testudines; Geoemydidae.